RNAcentral lists this ribosomal RNA (253 nucleotides) under uncultured bacterium. RNAcentral describes it as "partial 16S ribosomal RNA". It matches the Rfam family "Bacterial small subunit ribosomal RNA", at positions 524 to 776 of the family's 1533-position model. The record is from RNAcentral.
UACGUAGGGGGCUAGCGUUGUCCGGAAUCAUUGGGCGUAAAGCGCGUGUAGGCGGCUCGCUAAGUCCGCUGUGAAAGUCGGGGGCUCAACCCUCGGAUGCCGGUGGAUACUGUCGGGCUAGAGUACGGAAGAGGCGAGUGGAAUUCCUGGUGUAGCGGUGAAAUGCGCAGAUAUCAGGAGGAACACCAAUUGCGAAGGCAGCUCGCUGGGACGUUACUGACGCUGAGACGCGAAAGCGUGGGGAGCAACCAGG